Molecule: long non-coding RNA, 203 nt
Filed under: Elaeis guineensis (African oil palm)
Lineage: Eukaryota; Viridiplantae; Streptophyta; Magnoliopsida; Arecales; Arecaceae
Description: long non-coding RNA (EGUI_LNC076125)
Source: RNAcentral
CUAAGCUGCCGUCACCUGAGCUUGAAGUUGGAUUAUUCCUCCUGAGAAUCUCAUUUUGGAGAAUCAUCGUAGUGAUCUGGUCCAUCUUGAUGGUGCUCUUCCCCAUUAAAAGAGCAGUCACCAAGGACUCAUACAAAAGGAGAAGCGACGCUAACAAGACCAGCGUCCUAGUCUUUUCCUUAACUUUCUCGCCAAUGCUGAGG